AAGGUGCACCCCCAGGAAGGGUCUAGGCCAGGCCCGGCACGCUCUCCAGACCCCAGCGAGGCCACGAGGGUAGGAGCAAGGCGGGGCGGCCUGGGCUGUCUCGAUCUGGGCCCGGGGCCCCUUCCCACUCGCUUCUCUCGGGCCGGCGUCGAGCGAGGGCGCCCGCGAUCGCACCAGCACACGCGGCCGUGGCGCCCCCUCGGCCCCAACUCCGGCAGACCCUGCCCGACCCCCUCGCGCGCGGCCGCGCUCCCACCGCCUCGCUCUGGGUCGCGCCGACGCAGCCCAGGUGCGGGCGGGUUGGCCGCCCAGGUGAGGCCGCGCCGGGGGGGCCCGACUGUGCCGACCCCGCCCCACCCCGCCGCGGCCUCCCUCUCCGCGCGCCCCGCCCGGCCGGAGCCCGAGGAGGGGGCCCUACCUGGCCAGGUGCGCGGGGUCUCGGGACAAGGGCAGCAGGAGCCGACCGCCGCCCAGCGGCUUCGCGGUCCGGUCGGUCCGGCAGCCACUCCCUGCCGCGGCCCGCCCGCCGCGCGGCCUGAUUCACGCGCCCGCCCCCGCCCCGCCCGCCGCCCCUGCCGCCUGCCUGCCCGGGCAGCACCUGGGGCGGGCGGCCCCACCGCGGCGCGCCUGAAUUCCUGCGCCGCCCGCCCGCCGCCGCCGCUCCCGGGACCCUCGCCUAACCCCCACGGCGGAACGGCCUGGGACCCCAGCCUGGGACUCCGGCAGACCCUGCCCGACCCCUCGCGCGCGGCCGCGCUCCCACCGCCUCGCUCUGGGUCGCGCCGACGCAGCCCAGGUGCGGGCGGGUUGGCCGCCCAGGUGAGGCCGCGCCGGGGGGGCCCGACUGUGCCGACCCCGCCCCACCCCGCCGCGGCCUCCCUCUCCGCGCGCCCCGCCCGGCCGGAGCCCGAGGAGGGGGCCCUACCUGGCCAGGUGCGCGGGGUCUCGGGACAAGGGCAGCAGGAGCCGACCGCCGCCCAGCGGCUUCGCGGUCCGGUCGGUCCGGCAGCCACUCCCUGCCGCGGCCCGCCCGCCGCGCGGCCUGAUUCACGCGCCCGCCCCCGCCCCGCCCGCCGCCCCUGCCGCCUGCCUGCCCGGGCAGCACCUGGGGGCGGGGCGGCCCCACCCGCGGCGCGCCCGAAUUCCUGCGCCGCCCGCCCGCCGCCGCCGCUCCCGGGACCCUCGCCUAACCCCCCACGGCGGAACGGCCCGGGACCCCAGCCCGGGACCCCGGGAGACCGCUGA
Molecule: long non-coding RNA, 1245 nt
Filed under: Bos grunniens (domestic yak)
Lineage: Eukaryota; Metazoa; Chordata; Mammalia; Artiodactyla; Bovidae
Description: lncRNA (ENSBGRG00000006047.1)
Source: RNAcentral